This 443-nucleotide ribosomal RNA is filed under the name uncultured prokaryote. Its description in RNAcentral is "bacterial SSU rRNA". It matches the Rfam family "Bacterial small subunit ribosomal RNA", at positions 355 to 796 of the family's 1533-position model. The record is from RNAcentral.
UGGGGAAUCUUGCACAAUGGGGGCAACCCUGAUGCAGCCAUGCCGCGUGGAGGAAGACACCCCUAUGGGGCGUAAACUCCUUUUCUGAGAGAAGAAACCCCUGUAUGUUCAGGGCGUGACGGUAUCUCAGGAAUAAGCACCGGCUAACUCCGUGCCAGCAGCCGCGGUAAUACGGAGGGUGCAAGCGUUGUCCGGAAUCACUGGGCGUAAAGGGUGCGCAGGCGGGGCAGCAAGUCGGAGGUGAAAGCCCAUGGCUCAACCAUGGAAGUGCCUUCGAAACUGUUGCUCUUGAGUCCCGGAGAGGCUGCCGGAAUUCGUGGUGUAGCGGUGAAAUGCGUAGAGAUCACGAGGAACACCAGAGGCGAAAGCGGGCAGCUGGACGGGCACUGACGCUCAGGCACGAAAGCGUGGGGAGCAAACAGGAUUAGAUACCCCCGUAGUCC